RNAcentral lists this ribosomal RNA (669 nucleotides) under uncultured bacterium. RNAcentral's name for it is "bacterial SSU rRNA". It matches the Rfam family "Bacterial small subunit ribosomal RNA", at positions 34 to 707 of the family's 1533-position model. The record is from RNAcentral.
CGCUGGCGGCAUGCCUCACACAUGCAAGUCGAACGGGGUAUAAUUAAGAGCUUGCUUUUGAUUAUACCUAGCUGGCGGACGGGUGAGUAACGCGUGGGCAACCUACCCUACAGACCGGGAUACCAUCGGGAAACUGAUGUUAAUACCGGAUACACUUAACAUAGGGCAUCCUAUGUUAAGGAAAGAUUUAUCGCUGUAGGAUGGGCCUGCGUUCCAUUAGCUAGUUGGUAGGGUAACGGCCUACCAAGGCGACGAUGGAUAGCUGGUCUGAGAGGACGAUCAGCCACACUGGGACUGAGACACGGCCCAGACUCCUACGGGAGGCAGCAGUGGGGGAUAUUGCACAAUGGGCGAAAGCCUGAUGCAGCGACGCCGCGUGCGGGAUGACGGCCUUCGGGUUGUAAACCGCUUUCAGCAGGGAAGAAGCGCAAGUGACGGUACCUGCAGAAGAAGCGCCGGCUAACUACGUGCCAGCAGCCGCGGUAAUACGUAGGGCGCGAGCGUUAUCCGGAAUUAUUGGGCGUAAAGAGCUCGUAGGCGGUUUGUCGCGUCUGCUGUGAAAGCCCGGGGCUUACCCCGGGUGUGCAGUGGGUACGGGCAGACUAGAGUGCAGUAGGGGAGACUGGAAUUCCUGGUGUACCGGUGAAAUGCGCAAAUAUCAGGAGGAAC